RNAcentral lists this non-coding RNA (21 nucleotides) under Arabidopsis thaliana (thale cress). Lineage: Eukaryota; Viridiplantae; Streptophyta; Magnoliopsida; Brassicales; Brassicaceae. The record is from RNAcentral.
UAGACGAAGGUGCUCAGCUAC